AUCGGAGAUAAAUAAGGUGAAUAAGAGUAAGAUUGAUUCUAUUCACACGCAAGGAAGUGCCUUUUUUGCACGAAAAAUAAAGAGGAUGGUACGUAACUACAUUUGAAAUUGUACUUUAUAACUUCUUAUUAAAUAUUUAUAUUAUUUUAAUAUUCUUUUUUUUUCUUUUUUUCUUUUUGUUUGAAUAGGGACUAUCCAGAGUUGACGCCUAUGCUAAAUUCUAUCAAAAUAAGAGUAGCGAGUUUGUGACCAAAUAGAUGAGGCAGCAUCAUGUAAGUAUCAUUACUCUACAUUUUGAAUGCCUUUAAAGAGUAAAAAAAUUUAUGAUUUUAUUUGAUUUAUUAUGAAGAAAAAAAAUAUUACAAUUAAGAGAGC
This 375-nucleotide long non-coding RNA is filed under the name Elaeis guineensis (African oil palm). RNAcentral's name for it is "long non-coding RNA (EGUI_LNC064597)". The record is from RNAcentral. Lineage: Eukaryota; Viridiplantae; Streptophyta; Magnoliopsida; Arecales; Arecaceae.